GGGAAUCCUGGGAGAGAACAGGGAUCACAGUGCCGGCCUGAGAGGCUGUCCUGGAAGAUGGCAUCCCCCUGCCACAGUGAGGGUACCUCCUCAGAACUUAUGCUCAACCUGGACAGAGUCUGCAAUGCUCUGGAUGAAGCGGAUGCGGAAGGCGGUUGAUGAUUGGCUGUAACCGCAGGAAGAAGCUGCGCUGUGAUUGGUCCGGAUCGGCGGGGCGUUUGAAACAGAGCCUGAAUCCUCCGUGGCCAACUGGAGCUCAAGAAGAACUUUGGCGGCUUUGGUGCCUGAGAAUUGGUCCUCCACGGUUUCCCCCGUGCCUUUCGGCGGCGGGAUCUAGAAUCUGGACCCCAGCUCUUGCGGGAAGACACUGUGGCAAAACCUGGGUACGGCAGUCCAGGUAGAAAACAGUACGUGUUUACAGCUGCGGAGCCAACAGGACACUUUGUAUAUGCGAGCUUCCGCUUGCCCUGGCUCUGGGAUACGCCUGUAAUUCCAGAUACACAGGAGGCUGGGGCCGGAGGGUCGCAAGUUUGAGGCCAGCCUCAACAACUUAGCGAGCUCCUGUCUCAAAGCAAAAAAUAAAGGGGCUGGGGAUGUAACUCAGUUGUAGAGCACCGGUGGGUUUAACCCCCAGUACUGCAAAAGAAAAAAUAAUAUAACGAGGUUUGUUAUGUAAAGAGGAGUACCUUAAACUCCCCGUAUUUCUUUUCUUUUUUUAAUUUUUUUUUACUUAUAGAUGGACACAAUAUCUUUAUUUAUUUUUAUGUGAUGAUGUGAUCAAACCCAGUGCCUCACGUGAGCAAGGCAAGUGCUCUGCCACUGAGCCACAACCCCCAUUUCUUGAAGGAAACUACUUCUAACUCUUUAUUAAUUUGAGUUAUAAUGUACAUACAGUAAAAUACCCAGAUCUUCAAUGUAAGAUUCCUUGAGUUUUAACAAAUGAAACUGUUACCCAAAACAAGAUUGGGACAUGGAUGUCACCUCUGAUGUUUCCUUGUGUACCCUUUCCAGUCUCUUUUUUUUUUUUUUAAUAUUUAUUUUUUAGUUGUAGUGCUCUACCACUGAGCCACAACCCCAGCCCCACUUUUUAAAAUUGACACGUUAAUAUUGCACAUUUGGGGAAUACUGUCUGAUGUUUUGAUACAUGUAGACAUUAUGUAAUAUUCAAAUCAGGAUAAGCAUAUCCAUCCCCUGAAGUAUCUAUUGUUUCUUUGUAGUGAAAACAUUCACAACAGUGAAUUAUUGUACUGCAUAUUUCAAAAAACCUAGAAAGAAGAAUUCUUCUUUUUGAAACAUACAGUACAAUUAUCAUUAUCUGGAGUUAACAUGCCUUGCAGAACACCAGAACUUAUUUCCCAUACAGUCAAAACUUUUAUUGUGGUAAAAUACAUAGAUAAAAUAGACUAACCAUUUUAAGCCUUCCUGUUCUGUGGUACUUAAAGGACAUUCACAAUAUACCACUAUCAUCACUUUGGUGUUUUUAUCACCCCAUAAGGAAACAUCCCACCCAUUUAGCAGCCUCUUCCAUCCUCUCCUUCCCCACCCAGCCCCUGACAACCACAAAUCUGCUGUCUCUAUGGAAUUGCUUUUUCUUGAUAUUUCAUAUAAAUUCAUUCAUACCA
Molecule: long non-coding RNA, 1622 nt
Organism: Ictidomys tridecemlineatus (thirteen-lined ground squirrel)
Lineage: Eukaryota; Metazoa; Chordata; Mammalia; Rodentia; Sciuridae
Source: RefSeq, a predicted model, not a curated record